UACGUAGGGAGCAAGCGUUGUCCGGAAUCAUUGGGCGUAGAGCGCGCGUAGGCGGCCCCGUAAGUCCGCUGUGAAAGUCAAAGGCUCAACCUUUGAAAGCCGGUGGAUACUGUGGGGCUAGAGUACGGAAGAGGCGAGUGGAAUUCCUGGUGUAGCGGUGGAAUGCGCAGAUAUCAGGAGGAACACCAAUAGCGAAGGCAGCUCGCUGGGACGUUACUGACGCUGAGGCGCGAAAGCGUGGGGAGCGAACAGG
Molecule: ribosomal RNA, 253 nt
Filed under: uncultured bacterium
Lineage: Bacteria
Description: partial 16S ribosomal RNA
Rfam family: Bacterial small subunit ribosomal RNA
Source: RNAcentral